RNAcentral lists this ribosomal RNA (994 nucleotides) under Plantibacter sp. RNAcentral's name for it is "bacterial SSU rRNA". It matches the Rfam family "Bacterial small subunit ribosomal RNA", at positions 463 to 1453 of the family's 1533-position model. The record is from RNAcentral. Lineage: Bacteria; Bacillati; Actinomycetota; Actinomycetes; Micrococcales; Microbacteriaceae.
GCGAAAGUGACGGUACCUGCAGAAAAGCACCGGCUAACUACGUGCCAGCAGCCGCGGUAAUACGUAGGGUGCAAGCGUUGUCCGGAAUUAUUGGGCGUAAAGAGCUCGUAGGCGGUUUGUCGCGUCUGCUGUGAAAUCCCGAGGCUCAACCUCGGGUCUGCAGUGGGUACGGGCAGACUAGAGUGCGGUAGGGGAGAUUGGAAUUCCUGGUGUAGCGGUGGAAUGCGCAGAUAUCAGGAGGAACACCGAUGGCGAAGGCAGAUCUCUGGGCCGCUACUGACGCUGAGGAGCGAAAGGGUGGGGAGCAAACAGGCUUAGAUACCCUGGUAGUCCACCCCGUAAACGUUGGGCGCUAGAUGUGGGGACCAUUCCACGGUUUCCGUGUCGUAGCUAACGCAUUAAGCGCCCCGCCUGGGGAGUACGGCCGCAAGGCUAAAACUCAAAGGAAUUGACGGGGGCCCGCACAAGCGGCGGAGCAUGCGGAUUAAUUCGAUGCAACGCGAAGAACCUUACCAAGGCUUGACAUAUACGAGAACGGGCCAGAAAUGGUCAACUCUUUGGACACUCGUAAACAGGUGGUGCAUGGUUGUCGUCAGCUCGUGUCGUGAGAUGUUGGGUUAAGUCCCGCAACGAGCGCAACCCUCGUUCUAUGUUGCCAGCACGUUAUGGUGGGAACUCAUGGGAUACUGCCGGGGUCAACUCGGAGGAAGGUGGGGACGACGUCAAAUCAUCAUGCCCCUUAUGUCUUGGGCUUCACGCAUGCUACAAUGGCCAGUACAAAGGGCUGCAAUACCGUAAGGUGGAGCGAAUCCCAAAAAGCUGGUCCCAGUUCGGAUUGAGGUCUGCAACUCGACCUCAUGAAGUCGGAGUCGCUAGUAAUCGCAGAUCAGCAACGCUGCGGUGAAUACGUUCCCGGGCCUUGUACACACCGCCCGUCAAGUCAUGAAAGUCGGUAACACCCGAAGCCAGUGGCCUAACCGCAAGGAUGUAGUAU